Molecule: ribosomal RNA, 960 nt
Filed under: Lactiplantibacillus plantarum
Lineage: Bacteria; Bacillati; Bacillota; Bacilli; Lactobacillales; Lactobacillaceae
Description: bacterial SSU rRNA
Rfam family: Bacterial small subunit ribosomal RNA
Source: RNAcentral
AGCGGUAAUAAGUAAGGUGGCAAGCGUUGUCCGGAUUUUAUUGGGCGUAAAGCGAGCGCAGGCGGUUUUUUAAGUCUGAUGUGAAAGCCUUCGGCUCAACCGAAGAAGUGCAUCGGAAACUGGGAAACUUGAGUGCAGAAGAGGACAGUGGAACUCCAUGUGUAGCGGUGAAAUGCGUAGAUAUAUGGAAGAACACCAGUGGCGAAGGCGGCUGUCUGGUCUGUAACUGACGCUGAGGCUCGAAAGUAUGGGUAGCAAACAGGAUUAGAUACCCUGGUAGUCCAUACCGUAAACGAUGAAUGCUAAGUGUUGGAGGGUUUCCGCCCUUCAGUGCUGCAGCUAACGCAUUAAGCAUUCCGCCUGGGGAGUACGGCCGCAAGGCUGAAACUCAAAGGAAUUGACGGGGGCCCGCACAAGCGGUGGAGCAUGUGGUUUAAUUCGAAGCUACGCGAAGAACCUUACCAGGUCUUGACAUACUAUGCAAAUCUAAGAGAUUAGACGUUCCCUUCGGGGACAUGGAUACAGGUGGUGCAUGGUUGUCGUCAGCUCGUGUCGUGAGAUGUUGGGUUAAGUCCCGCAACGAGCGCAACCCUUAUUAUCAGUUGCCAGCAUUAAGUUGGGCACUCUGGUGAGACUGCCGGUGACAAACCGGAGGAAGGUGGGGAUGACGUCAAAUCAUCAUGCCCCUUAUGACCUGGGCUACACACGUGCUACAAUGGAUGGUACAACGAGUUGCGAACUCGCGAGAGUAAGCUAAUCUCUUAAAGCCAUUCUCAGUUCGGAUUGUAGGCUGCAACUCGCCUACAUGAAGUCGGAAUCGCUAGUAAUCGCGGAUCAGCAUGCCGCGGUGAAUACGUUCCCGGGCCUUGUACACACCGCCCGUCACACCAUGAGAGUUUGUAACACCCAAAGUCGGUGGGGUAACCUUUUAGGAACCAGCCGCCUAAGGUGAACAAAGAU